Molecule: ribosomal RNA, 804 nt
Filed under: uncultured bacterium
Lineage: Bacteria
Description: bacterial SSU rRNA
Rfam family: Bacterial small subunit ribosomal RNA
Source: RNAcentral
AGAGUUUGAUCCUGGCUCAGGAUGAACGCUGGCGGCGUGCUUAACACAUGCAAGUCGAACGGGAAACCUUUUAUUGAAGCUUCGGCAGAUUUAGAUUGUUUCUAGUGGCGGACGGGUGAGUAACGCGUGGGUAACCUGCCUUAUACAGGGGGAUAACAGUCAGAAAUGGCUGCUAAUACCGCAUAAGCGCACAGAGCUGCAUGGCUCGGUGUGAAAAACUCCGGUGGUAUAAGAUGGACCCGCGUUGGAUUAGCUAGUUGGUGAGGUAACGGCCCACCAAGGCGACGAUCCAUAGCCGGCCUGAGAGGGUGAACGGCCACAUUGGGACUGAGACACGGCCCAGACUCCUACGGGAGGCAGCAGUGGGGAAUAUUGCACAAUGGGGGAAACCCUGAUGCAGCGACGCCGCGUGAAGGAAGAAGUAUCUCGGUAUGUAAACUUCUAUCAGCAGGGAAGAAAAUGACGGUACCUGACUAAGAAGCCCCGGCUAACUACGUGCCAGCAGCCGCGGUAAUACGUAGGGGGCAAGCGUUAUCCGGAUUUACUGGGUGUAAAGGGAGCGUAGACGGAUGGACAAAUCUGAUGUGAAAGGCUGGGGCUCAACCCCGGGACUGCAUUGGAAACUGCCCGUCUUGAGUGCCGGAGAGGUAAGCGGAAUUCCUAGUGUAGCGGUGAAAUGCGUAGAUAUUAGGAGGAACACCAGUGGCGAAGGCGGCUUACUGGACGGUAACUGACGUUGAGGCUCGAAAGCGUGGGGAGCAANACAGGAUUAGAUACCCUGGUAGUCCACGCGGUAAACGAUGA